Xenia sp. Carnegie-2017 is the source of this 349-nucleotide long non-coding RNA. RefSeq lists it as uncharacterized. The transcript is spliced from 2 exons. NCBI's taxonomy places the organism in Eukaryota, Metazoa, Cnidaria, Anthozoa, Malacalcyonacea, Xeniidae. The record is from RefSeq and is a predicted model, not a curated record.
AUAAAAAUUUCUUAAACGUCCUGGCACAACCAUCGAUGCCACAAACAACAUGAAAAUUUGGUUCAUCACGAUGAACACGGCCAAUAUGUGUUAUUAGUAAUUGAAGAGAAUCUGAAACGAAUUCUAGGCAAAUAUUACAUCGAUAUAGACGCUCCAUGACAUAAUUCACUUCAAGAAUACAAUUCACUUCUGAAGAGAGUGCCGGCUCAACUCUGUUACCAUAUAUGGUGUGAAAUGUGAUAUUAGCGACUAUAUGCAAAACGCGCGUUGUCAACUAAACGUAAAAGUCAAUAUUACCAGGCUUAAAGAGCCAUUGGAUUUAAGUUAUUUGGUUUCGACGAUCUCCCUU